UACCAGCUCCCUGAGUGGUAAGGACGAUUAUUUGGCCUAAAGCGUCCGUAGCCGGCUUAUCAAGUCUCUUGUUAAACCCAAUGAUUCAAUCAUUGAUCUGCAAGAGAUACUGUUAUGCUAGAGGACGGGAGAGGUCGACGGUAGUCCAGGGGUAGAGGUGAAAUCCUAUAAUCCUUGGAGGACCACCAGUGGCGAAGGCGGUCGACUAGAACGUGCCUGACGGUGAGGGACGAAAGCUGGGGGAGCGAACCGGAUUAGAUACCCGGGUAGUCCCAGCUGUAAACGAUGCGGGCUAGGUGUUGGGGUGGCUACGUGCCACUUCAGUGCCGCAGGGAAGCCAUUAAGCCCGCCGCCUGGGGAGUACGGCCGCAAGGCUGAAACUUAAAGGAAUUGGCGGGGAGCACCACAAGGCGUGAAGCUUGCGGUUC
Molecule: ribosomal RNA, 428 nt
Filed under: uncultured archaeon
Lineage: Archaea
Description: bacterial SSU rRNA
Rfam family: Archaeal small subunit ribosomal RNA
Source: RNAcentral